AAAUUGUGGUGUGGACAACAUCUCAGCAGGUCCUAGUACCUCUCCCAUGUAUCAUACAUGCUCUCAUCAUCACACUGCGUAAAAGAAGAAAUAUCAUUAUGCAUCU
This 106-nucleotide small nucleolar RNA is filed under the name Ricinus communis (castor bean). RNAcentral describes it as "Plant small nucleolar RNA R71". It matches the Rfam family "Plant small nucleolar RNA R71". From Rfam's summary of the family: R71 is a member of the C/D box family of snoRNAs containing the C (UGAUGA) and D (CUGA) box motifs. Multiple nearly identical copies of this snoRNA have been identified in Arabidopsis, and it is thought to function as a 2'-O-ribose methylation guide for 18S ribosomal RNA. The record is from Rfam by way of RNAcentral. Lineage: Eukaryota; Viridiplantae; Streptophyta; Magnoliopsida; Malpighiales; Euphorbiaceae.